This is a long non-coding RNA of Nycticebus coucang (slow loris), 325 nucleotides long. RefSeq lists it as uncharacterized. NCBI's taxonomy places the organism in Eukaryota, Metazoa, Chordata, Mammalia, Primates, Lorisidae. The record is from RefSeq and is a predicted model, not a curated record. The transcript has 2 exons.
AUGUUUCCUUUUUCUGGUAGCACAGCUGACUGAUACCUGUAAGAAAAUAUUGAGAUAUUUCACUAGAAAAGACUAUUGUAUCAAGUGGCAAACCUAUGUAAUCUAUAUGUGUGUGUGUGUGUGUAAAACAAAAAGUUAAGGUCAUGCUAUACUCUUCAGAGUAUAUUAGUCCUAAAAACUGUCCUCCUGUUUUCUUUCACCCCUUUUUCCAGUUCACCUCUAGAGACUAAUGUGGUAUAGAUUGCUGAUGGAAGAGUUCAACAUAGAAUAACUGUUAUAGCCAGACAUUUUCUGGCAUUUUCCUUUAGUAAAGUACUCAAACUUA